RNAcentral lists this long non-coding RNA (819 nucleotides) under Coturnix japonica (Japanese quail). RNAcentral describes it as "lncRNA (ENSCJPG00005017758.1)". The record is from RNAcentral. Lineage: Eukaryota; Metazoa; Chordata; Aves; Galliformes; Phasianidae.
ACCAUAUAUUUUUUUAAAAAUUAAAUAAUACAAGUUUAGAACACUAUAAAAUACUUUAGACAUUCUGAAAAUUGUCAUGAACAUUUAUUUGCUAAGGAGUAUGUUUGACACCACAAGAGUAACAUUAAUAUGCAAAUCAGUGGACUAUAAAAUUUGUUUUGGUGCCUCAAGGGCAGUAUUUUUAUAAAUACAGGAGCACAAUUAUGCAUUCUCCAGAGGACUAAAAAUAAUUAUACAAAUUUACAACAAAGCCCAAGGCUGUGUCUCCUCUUAACUGUCUGUUUUUAAUAUCAUUUAAAUCUUGUUAAAACUUAAUUACCAAUUCUCUUCUGUAAUAAUUUAGGUGGAAGAUCUGAGGACUAAGUUUGCUGUUUGAAAGAGAGAACUUGACCUGAAAACAAAGACACCAAGGCACGGACUGACAAAAUAGGAUAGUGCGUUGAAAUACUUGAAACAGAUACAAUGGCAACUCUACUUCUAUGACAGAGGCUCGAGGUCAGGGGGAGCCUUGGAUUUUAUCCCCAGUAAAGCACCAGGUAAACCUGACAGAACUGUUAUAGCUCAAGCUAUAACAAAUGGAACAUAGCACCACAAGGCCUCAUGUCUCCCAGGGGGAAUAGCCCAGAGGACCGAGGCUGGAAAGCUACAAAGAUGUACCUAAAAAAAGGUAUCCAGAUUUCCCCAAAUCCUACUAAUUUGGAUAAGGAACAUAUUUCUGCAGCUAUUAUUAGAACCGUAAAAGUGACCCAGAGUUCAGCUUUUUUCAGUUUGUGCAAUCAAGAUUUCAGCUAUUGCUGGACACAGUGCUUGGGUUAUUAA